This is a non-coding RNA of Oryza glumipatula, 110 nucleotides long. Lineage: Eukaryota; Viridiplantae; Streptophyta; Magnoliopsida; Poales; Poaceae. The record is from Rfam.
GGGAGAUGAUGAGUGGUAACAUCUCGCUAAUUAAUGUUGCGAGAGGGGUGUCUGCCCCAACCAAGCCUGUUACGACAACAGGGCACUCCGAUAUUUUACCAUCUGAUCCC